This 455-nucleotide ribosomal RNA is filed under the name Klebsiella quasipneumoniae subsp. quasipneumoniae. Its description in RNAcentral is "bacterial SSU rRNA". It matches the Rfam family "Bacterial small subunit ribosomal RNA", at positions 1 to 454 of the family's 1533-position model. Lineage: Bacteria; Pseudomonadati; Pseudomonadota; Gammaproteobacteria; Enterobacterales; Enterobacteriaceae. The record is from RNAcentral.
AAAUUGAAGAGUUUGAUCAUGGCUCAGAUUGAACGCUGGCGGCAGGCCUAACACAUGCAAGUCGAGCGGUAGCACAGAGAGCUUGCUCUCGGGUGACGAGCGGCGGACGGGUGAGUAAUGUCUGGGAAACUGCCUGAUGGAGGGGGAUAACUACUGGAAACGGUAGCUAAUACCGCAUGAUGUCGCAAGACCAAAGUGGGGGACCUUCGGGCCUCAUGCCAUCAGAUGUGCCCAGAUGGGAUUAGCUAGUAGGUGGGGUAACGGCUCACCUAGGCGACGAUCCCUAGCUGGUCUGAGAGGAUGACCAGCCACACUGGAACUGAGACACGGUCCAGACUCCUACGGGAGGCAGCAGUGGGGAAUAUUGCACAAUGGGCGCAAGCCUGAUGCAGCCAUGCCGCGUGUGUGAAGAAGGCCUUCGGGUUGUAAAGCACUUUCAGCGGGGAGGAAGGCGA